AUUGAACGCUGGCGGCAGGCUUAACACAUGCAAGUCGAGCGGGGUGAUGGUGCUUGCACUAUCACUUAGCGGCGGACGGGUGAGUAAUGCUUAGGAAUCUGCCUAUUAGUGGGGGACAACAUCUCGAAAGGGAUGCUAAUACCGCAUACGUCCUACGGGAGAAAGCAGGGGAUCACUUGUGACCUUGCGCUAAUAGAUGAGCCUAAGUCGGAUUAGCUAGUUGGUGGGGUAAAGGCCUACCAAGGCGACGAUCUGUAGCGGGUCUGAGAGGAUGAGCCGCCACACUGGGACUGAGACACGGCCCAGACUCCUACGGGGGGCAGCAGUGGGGAAUAUUGGACAAUGGGGGGAACCCUGAUCCAGCCAUGCCGCGUGUGUGAAGAAAGCCUUAUGGUUGUAAAGCACUUUAAGCGAGGAGGAGGCUCUUUUGGUUAAUACCCAAGAUGAGUGGACGUUACUCGCAGAAUAAGCACCGGCUAACUCUGUGCCAGCCGCCGCAGUAA
Molecule: ribosomal RNA, 503 nt
Filed under: uncultured bacterium
Lineage: Bacteria
Description: partial 16S ribosomal RNA
Rfam family: Bacterial small subunit ribosomal RNA
Source: RNAcentral